GAUGAACGCUGGCGGCGUGCCUAAUACCUGCAAGUCGAGCUAACGUACGCGUAGCUUGCUUCUCUGUUGUUAGCGGCGUACGGGGGAGUAACACUUGGAUCACCUACCUAUCAGACUGUGAUAACUUCGGGAAACCGAUGCUAAUACCUGAUAAUAUUUUUAUCCGCAUUGUUUAACAGUGAAAGACGUUUUUCCUGUCACUUAUAGUUGUAUCCGCGCUUCAUUAGCUAGUUGGUAAGGUAACGGCUUACCAAGGCAACGAUGCAUAGCCGAGCUGAGCGGGUGAUUGCCCUCGCUGGAGGUGAGACACGGACCAGAUUCCUAAGGGAGGCAGCAGAAGGGAAUAUUCCGCAAGGGGCGAAAGCCUGACGGAGCAACGGCGCGAGAGUGAUAAAGGGCUAAGGAUCGUAAAAAGGUGUGAUUAGGGAAGAACAUAUGUGUAAGUAAGUGAACACAUCUUGACGGUACCUAAUCAGAAAGACACGGCUAACUAAGUG
Molecule: ribosomal RNA, 497 nt
Filed under: uncultured bacterium
Lineage: Bacteria
Description: partial 16S ribosomal RNA
Rfam family: Bacterial small subunit ribosomal RNA
Source: RNAcentral